This 1371-nucleotide ribosomal RNA is filed under the name Triticum aestivum (bread wheat). RNAcentral describes it as "partial small subunit ribosomal RNA". The record is from RNAcentral. Lineage: Eukaryota; Viridiplantae; Streptophyta; Magnoliopsida; Poales; Poaceae.
AUGGUUGAGGUGACGUCGUGGGUGGAGGACGUGGAGAAGACGCUGCUGGAAGAGCACGAGCCGUCGUCGGAGGUGGAGCAAUGGCGGAAGCACUCCAUCUACCGUGUCCCGGCGCGCAUCAAGAGGCUCAACGGCGACGCCUACAAGCCGCAGACGGUGUCCCUGGGCCCCUUCCACCACGGAGACCCCGACCUGCUGCCCAUGGAGCAGCACAAACGCAGGGCGCUGCUGCGCCUCCUCCGGCGGGCCGGCAGGCCGCUACGGGACCUCGUCGCCGCCGUGGGGGAGGUGGAGGAGCAGCUGCGGGCGGCGUACGUCGGCCUCGGCGACGAGUGGCGCGACGGUGGCGGGGAGCGGUUCGUGGAGAUGAUGAUCGUGGACGGCUGCUUCUUGCUGGAGGUGAUGAGGACGGCGGCGGCCGCCGGGCGGAGGUAUGCCGUUCACCCAGACUACGCGCCCAACGACCCGGUGUUCAGCCGGCACGGCUUGCUGUACAUUGCGCCGUAUGUCCAGCGCGACAUGCUCAUGGUCGAGAACCAGCUGCCCCUCCUCGUGCUCCACAGGAUCGCCGCUGCAGCUGAGGGUGGAAAAACAUCGACCUAUGCUACGAUCAACAGGAUGGUGCUCAACUUCCUUGGCGUGGCAGAUGCUGACAGGCACCCAGCGGCAGUGCCACACCUGGGGCUCCACCCACUAGACAUCUACCGCCGGAGCCUACUACUCCACACCACCGGCAGGACAGAGCGCAACAUACAGGUCGAAGAGCCGGCGGCGAAGCCCGCGGACGUGCGCUCCGCGCGGAAGCUCCACGAAGCCGGCAUCCGGUUCCGGCACAGCGGGCGGGCGGACUGCCUCUGCGACGUCCGGUUCCGGGGCGGCACCCUCACCAUGCCGCAGCUCUUCGUGGACGACUCCACCGAGUACAAGCUCCUGAACCUGAUGGCGUUCGAGGCCCUGCACGUCGGCGCCGGCAACGACGUGACCGCCUACGUCUUCUUCAUGCGGAGCGUCGUCGGCUGCGUGGACGACGUGCGGCUGCUGCGGCGCAAGGGGAUCGUCCGGAGCGAGUGGGUGGACGGCGACGAGACGGUGGUGCGGCUGCUCAACGACAUGACCAGGGACGUGGUCUGCGACGAGGCGUCGCCGCUCUGCGCCCUGCACGGCGAGGUGGAGGCCUACUGCCGGAGCAACCUGCGCGUGUUCCUGCACGUGUCGUGGUACUACCUCAAGCGCACCUACUUCGGGAACCCGUGGACGUUCCUCUCCCUCGCCGCCGGCAUCCUGCUCCUCGUCACCGACAUCAUCCAGACUGUGUAUUCCGUUCUUUCUUACGAAGUGCAGGGAAAGAGACAGUAUUACAGCCAUCACUAG